GAUGAACGCUGGCGGCGUGCCUAAUACAUGCAAGUCGAGCGAACAGACGAGGAGCUUGCUCCUCUGACGUUAGCGGCGGACGGGUGAGUAACACGUGGAUAACCUACCUAUAAGUCUGGGAUAACUUCGGGAAACCGGAGCUAAUACCGGAUAAUAUAUUGAACCGCAUGGUUCAAUAGUGAAAGACGGUUUUGCUGUCACUUAUAGAUGGAUCCGCGCCGCAUUAGCUAGUUGUUAAGGUAACGGCUUACCAAGGCGACGAUGCGUAGCCGACCUGGGAGGUGGAUAGGCCACACUGGAACUGAGACACGGUCCAGACUCCUACGGGAGGCAGCAGUAGGGAAUCUUCCGCAAUGGGCGAAAGCCUGACGGAGCAACGCCGCGUGAGUGAUGAAGGUCUUCGGAUCGUAAAACUCUGUUAUUAGGGAAGAACAAAUGUGUAAGUAACUAUGCACGGCUUGACGGUACCUAAUCAGAAAGCCACGGCUAACUACGUG
This 497-nucleotide ribosomal RNA is filed under the name uncultured bacterium. Its description in RNAcentral is "partial 16S ribosomal RNA". It matches the Rfam family "Bacterial small subunit ribosomal RNA", at positions 28 to 507 of the family's 1533-position model. The record is from RNAcentral.